CCUACGGGAGGCUGCAGUAGGGAAUAUUGCUCAAUGGGGGAAACCCUGACGCAGCAACGCCGCGUGGAGGAUGAAGGUUUUCGGAUUGUAAACUCCUUUUGUUAGAGAAGAUAAUGACGGUAUCUAACGAAUAAGCACCGGCUAACUCCGUGCCAGCAGCCGCGGUAAUACGGAGGGUGCAAGCGUUACUCGGAAUCACUGGGCGUAAAGAGCGCGUAGGCGGGAUGGCAAGUCAGAUGUGAAAUCCUAUGGCGUAACCAUAGGAGUGCAUUUGAAAAUGUUAUUCUAGAGUGUGGGAGAGGUAAAUGGAAUUCUUGGUGUAGAGGUAAAAUCCGUAGAGAUCAAGAGGAAUACUCAUUGCGAAGGCGACCUGCUAGAACGUAACUGACGCUGAUGCGCGAAAGCGUGGGGAGCAAACAGGAUUAGAUACCCCAGUAGUC
Molecule: ribosomal RNA, 440 nt
Filed under: uncultured bacterium
Lineage: Bacteria
Description: partial 16S ribosomal RNA
Rfam family: Bacterial small subunit ribosomal RNA
Source: RNAcentral